Molecule: ribosomal RNA, 467 nt
Filed under: uncultured bacterium
Lineage: Bacteria
Description: partial 16S ribosomal RNA
Rfam family: Bacterial small subunit ribosomal RNA
Source: RNAcentral
GACGAACGCUGGCGGCGUGCUUAACACAUGCAAGUCGAACGGAAAGGCCCUGCUUUUGUGGGGUGCUCGAGUGGCGAACGGGUGAGUAACACGUGAGUAACCUGCCCUUGACUUUGGGAUAACUUCAGGAAACUGGGGCUAAUACCGGAUAGGAGCUCCUGCUGCAUGGUGGGGGUUGGAAAGUUUCGGCGGUUGGGGAUGGACUCGCGGCUUAUCAGCUUGUUGGUGGGUAGUGGCUUACCAAGGCUUUGACGGGUAGCCGGCCUGAGAGGGUGACCGGCCACAUUGGGACUGAGAUACGGCCCAGACUCCUACGGGAGGCAGCAGUGGGGAAUAUUGCACAAUGGGCGGAAGCCUGAUGCAGCAACGCCGCGUGCGGGAUGACGGCCUUCGGGUUGUAAACCGCUUUCGCCUGUGACGAAGCGUGAGUGACGGUAAUGGGUAAAGAAGCACCGGCUAACUACGUG